Cannabis sativa is the source of this 2572-nucleotide RNA transcript. RefSeq lists it as uncharacterized. Lineage: Eukaryota; Viridiplantae; Streptophyta; Magnoliopsida; Rosales; Cannabaceae. The record is from RefSeq and is a predicted model, not a curated record. The transcript has 3 exons.
UUCUUUUUCUUAUUUUUUAUUUUAUUUUAUUUCGUAAUUUUUGAUUUUCCAGUUCUCUCUCUCUCUUUCUUUCUCUAUCUCAAUUCCUCGGUCGGCGACUUUUUCAUUUUUCGGGUCCAUUGGGGUCGCGAUCGGAGAACCUCUAACCGCCGUUUGGAUCAUUCCGCCGCCGAUUAAAUAUCCGGCUGAUCUCCUUCUUCAACUUCUAGCUUUUGGUUUGCUUUCAGGUAGAUUAUUGGCUGGUUCUUGUUGUGGAGGACAACUGUAAAGAAGCAACCUUUGAUGUACAGAUGAGCAGAACCAAUGUUAUUGGCAGUAGAAGGAGGAGGAUUCUUCUCAUCUUCGGCUUCUGGGUAUAGCAAAGGUCUGGCCCUUCUUCUCUUGGGUCAGAAGAACAAGGACAAACCCAUGAGAGUUGCGCCGUGGAAUCAGUACCAGUUGGUGGACCAAGAAUCUGACCCUGACCUCCAGCUGGCUUCUACGAAGAACCGACUCGCCCGCGGGUGUGCUUCCUUUGUCUGCUUUCGUCGCACUUCCGCUGGGCUUGACACUAAAUCUCCUCUUAAAGUAGGUCCUGCCCAACAUCAGGAUGUCUUGCCAGAUUCUCUUGCUUCUGAUAGUGAUAAGAACAAAGAUCAUGCAGCCAAUACAGUUGACAGUGACGAUGCAAGUAAAGUUUAUCUUAAAAGUAGCUUGAAGAAGUCAUCAAACACUACUUCAGUUUCUGUUGAGACUGGAAAUGACAGUGUAAGGCUCAGUGAAGCAGGCAGUGAUAUACCUGGCACAGAAAGAAGAAAAGUGCAAUGGACAGAUACUUGUGGGAGUGAGCUUGCUGAAAUCAAGGAAUUCGAGCCCAGGUAUGGCAUUCUUAUAAUUUGUUCAAGGUUUUGAUGCUUUCCCUUUAUUAAUUUAUGCUUUAAUUGUCCUUUUUUUGUUUUUUUUUUCUUUCUUUCUUUAGCCUUUUCUUUCUUUCUUUCUUUCUUUUCUUUUUUACCUGUUUGAUUUUGUCCUUUUGUUAGUUGAUUGGACUUAUAAUAAAUUAAUAAUGUAUGAUUCAUGAAUGUAUGUGUGAUUUGUCAUUGAUCAUCUGAGUUUCAUUGGACUGUUUGCCUUUACCAAACUGGUGAUUGUCUAUUUAUAAUUAAGCAUGUUGUGUAUGAUUCAUGCAAAUAAAAAGAAGGCUUUUCUGUAGGCUUUGUUUUAUUGUUCACCAUAGGUAGGAAGAGAAGAACAAAGAUAGAUAAAGGAACUGAUAAAAUAAAGGGAAUGAGAACUUUGGACUGAAAGAUAAUUUCAUCUUAUAUAUCAUGGUUGUUAUGUUAUGUGUUGUCAUAUGUGAGACAGAUAUAGAAGUUCACAAGUGUUUUUUUUACACAAAAUUUUAUGUUUUGUUUGGGGAAAAUUGAUUGUAGUUAUGAUAGGUGUCUGUCGUUCCAUGUCAAGGUUUUAGUGUUAUUGGUAGUUAAGUUUUAAGAAAACAAGUUAUUAUAAAUACUGAAAACCUGACAAAAGUAAGCUCAGAAAAUCAAUAAUUGGUCUGUCUGUGUUGGAGAUAAAUGCACCAAGGUUUUUGUUGGAAUUGCUCAUUUUGAGAAUUUUGUUUGCCACCGUUGUGAAGAAAUUUUUGAAGGUACAAAAUCAAUGAUUAUAGUGAUAGAAAAUGUGGAAGGUCUACAAGAGAAGUAUGAUAAUAAUGUUGAUUAAAGUAAACAAAGAGUUUAAAUGUGAGAUUCCUUGCUACAGGAAGAGGUUGUAUAGAUUUAUGAGAAAAAGCCAAGAACACAAAAAUCAACGUGGGUAUACUGUAUAUUGCGGAAGUGAAGAAGUUAAGCUGUGUUGGAGAAUAUGGGUAAUAUACAUUCCAUAAAUCAUGAUAUGCAAUUAGGUGUGUGGCUAACGACAAUGACAAAAAGUUCUUAAUAGCCUUAUGGUUUCAGAGUUAUUAGUUUUGAACAUUUUGAAAUUGAGGUAAAGUUAAAAGUACCAACUCUUGGAGUUCUUAUUUGAACCUAGUAUUCCCAACCAAAGUAAUGAAAACUAGGAGAUAUGCAUAUCCAUGCUCUUUUCUUUAUCAUUCAACGUUUCUUAUUGGAGUUGUUUCAGAUAUGGAACCAUACAUGGCAUGAUUGAAAAUUAGUCUCUAGCUAUUAAGUGAAGUGGACCUAUCAGACGAUGAAUAUGAUAACGGGACUGAAAGAAGUUGUUCGUGUGCAAUCAUGUAGUUUGGUUUUAGUUGAGGUGACAUGGGGAUAUGCCUCGGUUUUCAUUGCAACGAUGAAAAAAGUGAAAUUACACAGCUGAAGGAGCUUGUUCAUCGUUCCUCUGAGCUAGUCAGAUUGAUUGAUUUCUGGAUGAAGAAACGGGGAAACCAAACGAGUUUUUGAUCCGAUAGAGCAAGGAAAUUUGCUUCCUAUUUGUCUAUAUUCAGUUGCUGAGGGUUUUCAAUAUUUUUUUUCCUCUUGUGGGCAUAUUAGCCAUUUAUGGUUUUGUUUAUUUUCUUAAGCUCAUGUAUGUGUGACUGUCUUGUUUAUUUCCUUUGUCGUAUUUAUUGUGUUAUUCUUUUUUUGGUUUC